UAGAGUAGAAGCUCAGACUUAACUAUAUAAAAACCUGCCUCCCCUUGAGGCUAUAAAAGGGGAGGUAGGGCACCAUCUAGGGGCAGGUCGAACACGAUCACAACAGCUAACACACAAUCCAUCACGAGCGCUCUGCCACCUAUAAAGUCGAGAUUUGGGACCGCCUCCCUCUCUCGCAAUUAGCUUGUACCCUCCUACUACAAGCACUUCAGGUGCAAGAUAAUAUAGGAUCCAACCCCUUCACCGGAUAUAGGGCAUUGUUGGUCUGAACUAGUAUAAAUCCCUUAUGUUCUUCUUGCAUCACCAUCUAGGUUUAGAGACGCGCAGAUUCGUUACUUGUUAGUGGCUGGAUCACGUGUCAACAAUACUAAUUGAGUACUGUAGAUUUUUAAGGUUACCUAGAAGUCAAACAAGCUGCUACUGGUGUGUCAGGCUGCUGCAUCUUUGUCAGACCACUUGUAUGGUACAGUAGAGAAAGCAUCAUGUAACUUUACGGUCGUGGG
Molecule: long non-coding RNA, 503 nt
Filed under: Sorghum bicolor (sorghum)
Lineage: Eukaryota; Viridiplantae; Streptophyta; Magnoliopsida; Poales; Poaceae
Description: long non-coding RNA (SBIC_LNC004013)
Source: RNAcentral